Non-coding RNA from Schistosoma margrebowiei, 45 nucleotides. The record is from Rfam. Lineage: Eukaryota; Metazoa; Platyhelminthes; Trematoda; Strigeidida; Schistosomatidae.
AUCCAUCUGACUAGUCCCAAGCAGAACGAAACACGCUUCCUGGAU